GAAUCCUACGGGGGGCAGCAGUGGGGAAUAUUGCACAAUGGGGGAAACCCUGAUGCAGCGACGCCGCGUGAGUGAAGAAGUAUUUCGGUAUGUAAAGCUCUAUCAGCAGGGAAGAAAAUGACGGUACCUGGCUAAGAAGCCCCGGCUAACUACGUGCCAGCAGCCGCGGUAAUACGUAGGGGGCAAGCGUUAUCCGGAUUUACUGGGUGUAAAGGGUGCGUAGGUGGCAGGGCAAGUCAGAUGUGAAAGCCC
This 252-nucleotide ribosomal RNA is filed under the name uncultured bacterium. RNAcentral describes it as "partial 16S ribosomal RNA". It matches the Rfam family "Bacterial small subunit ribosomal RNA", at positions 334 to 603 of the family's 1533-position model. The record is from RNAcentral.